Long non-coding RNA from Leguminivora glycinivorella, 1233 nucleotides. RefSeq lists it as uncharacterized. Lineage: Eukaryota; Metazoa; Arthropoda; Insecta; Lepidoptera; Tortricidae. The record is from RefSeq and is a predicted model, not a curated record. The transcript has 2 exons.
ACGUAGCAGAUUUUUUGAUAGUCGUAAUUAAAUAUUUUGGAUAGAUUUAAUUUUUGAAUGAAACACUUCCUUCUCGUUCAUUGCAUUAUCUGUUGCACUUCAAAUGCACAUAUUUAUGUUUAUCUGUUGUAGGGUUGCCAUACAACAAGUAUUAUUCGAAAUUGUAGGUAUUUUGGCUGUCAUUCCAGGAAAACUUUGUAUAGUUUUGAUAUACUUUAAGUAUUGAUUUUUGGAAAAUAUAAUAUUUUAGAGACAUGAUAACAAAUGUUAUCAUAGGUUUUUUAAGGCUGUUCUGGAAUGAUAUUUGUUAGGUUUUGUUUACUUCAAGGUCUGAUACAGAAACUGGAGUAAUUUUCAUUUAAUGAAUUAGAGUAUUUUAUUGUUUAUUCGUUUGCCACCCGGCUUUUGUUUUGGGUCCUUUAAAUUCGAGAUCAUUCAGUGCGCCGUUCUUUCUGUGACGAGAUCCUCUUGUAUAGUGAUCGGACGGCCGUAUAAGGGCCUGGAGCCCGGCAUGCCACGUGCUGCCGUGGCGUUCCAUAUUUUGUGUGGUGCGUUCUGUCAGUCUGACUGGCAGAAACAUGCUAAGGGUGGGAGUGCUCCUUGGAGAUCCUCGGUCUGCAGUCUGCAGGUCUCCGGUGAGCUCGCUUACAUUUUUUUGUUUAGUCUAUCACAGUGUGUGAGGGCACUCGACUAAUGUGACCAAUUUAUUUGUUUCAUAGGAGUCGGGAAGAAGUAAAGAAUUAGAGAAUUGCAGAAGUAGAUAAUUAAACAAGAACCUUUACAAUUUCGAUGUGCAAGGAAACUUCUUUGGCUUACUGGCGCAAGGUGUCUUUGGACCUUGUUUUCGUAUGGAAGGGUCAGCCCUGUCCACGUGGCGAGGGGGCGUCAGCACCGGAGUCCGGGGAGCUGCCGGCUCAUCCCUGACAAGGUGUGUCUCCUGCCCGUUUCCUGCCGGUAGUGCUGUGUAAUUCAGGUUUUUAAUUUCUGUGUAAAGUAAUUUCUGAUUUCAUUUAUUUUGAGAAUUCUGGUGCAUAACUUUAGGUAAAUUCCGAUUUAGUUUUGUAGAAUAAAUGAUUGUAAGAAACCUUUUCCUGGACCCUCUUAAAGCGGCCCAGCUUUACCACUGAGCGUAGUUCAUAUUUUUAUAUGGUGUCUAAUUUAGUAUUUUGGGAAACAUUAAAUGAAACCUUUCUGUAAGGCAAGAUUUAGUUAUAAUAAAUAUAUAAAAUGUUA